Portunus trituberculatus (swimming crab) is the source of this 800-nucleotide long non-coding RNA. RefSeq lists it as uncharacterized. The transcript is spliced from 3 exons. Lineage: Eukaryota; Metazoa; Arthropoda; Malacostraca; Decapoda; Portunidae. The record is from RefSeq and is a predicted model, not a curated record.
CCUGCCCUGCCUCCUCACACUUGUUGUACCAGUAUGUGUUAAACUGUGGGAGGUGCGGGGUGUGUGUUCCCGGCCUGCUGGUGAUCUAGGAUUCGAAACAAGGACUCGAACUGAAGACAACCACCGUUAAGCCAGCAAGCCAAGCCAAGCCAAGCCACUCAGCCAACCCAACCGAAGCCAAGCCAAACCAAGGUGUUGAGGCCACGCUCCCACGCUCCCAUGCUCCUACCAACGCUCCCACGCUCCCACCAGCUCUCCCAUCAACGCUCAAUGCUCUAAGGUCACUGUUCCUCACCUCUCCCACGCUCCUCAACGCUGCCGGCUCUGUUCUCCCAAGCUCCCACGCUCCCACGCUCCCAGGCCUUCGUUUUCCAUGCUCCCACGCUCCAAGGCCACAACGCUCCUCUGUUCCCAGUCUCCCACGGUCUAUUUCAGUCUCAACGCUCCGGAAUUCCUGUUUUUUCACGCUCCUUUCAAGUUUCACGCUCUUUUUCAGUCCACAACGCUCCUUUUUUGUGGUUCUAAGCUCUAUUGUAGUUUUCUAAAGUCUGGUCGAGUUUCCAUGCUCCAGAAGUGUUGUUUUCACGCUCCUUCACUCUAGGUUAUAUGCUCCAGUUAAUUUUUCACGCUCUUUUUUGGUGUACAAUGCUCUUUAUCUGUUUCUAAAGCUCUCUUCUUGUUUACUUAAGGUCUAUUUCAAUUUUCUCUCUUCCAGAUUUCACGCUCCACUCACUACUACUACUACUACUACUACUACUACUACUACUACUACUACUACUACUACUACUGUUUUCCCCUUC